Passer domesticus (house sparrow) is the source of this 2565-nucleotide long non-coding RNA. RefSeq lists it as uncharacterized. NCBI's taxonomy places the organism in Eukaryota, Metazoa, Chordata, Aves, Passeriformes, Passeridae. The transcript has 4 exons. The record is from RefSeq and is a predicted model, not a curated record.
CUGGGCACGGGAACACCGGGCAGGGGAACGCACCGGGUAUGGGAACACACCGGGUAUGGGAACACCAGGCACGGACACACCGGGCACGGACACAGCAGGUAUGGGAACACACUGGACAUGGGACACACUGGGCACGGAACACACCAGGCAGAGGAACACACCGGGUACGGGAACACCGUAACAGACACCGAACUGGGCUCCAUUGUCACCCUGUCACAGACACCGGACUGGGGCACUGGUGUCACCCUGUCACAGCUACCAAUCUGGGUGCCAGUGUCACCCUGUCACCGAGCCCAGGUACCAAUGGCCCUUGUCACAGAGGAGAAACAGAAUUUUUGUUCACAAAAGGCCUGGAUCUACAGAGGCGACUGGUCCGUAGGAGCUGAUGUAGUGACCUGAGUGUACACCUGGACCAGCACAGCUGGACUGAGGAAACCACAGUCUGUACUUCAGGUAUCAGCUCUGUGGAAGAACCUUGCAAAUCUCAAAGAGAGCCGGUGAGCAAACAAAUGCUCUUGUGUUGAAGAUAAAGAAAGUUUGCACGUCUCUGUGCACCUCUGAGAACUGUCUGGGUACACCCACCACGAUGCAGCUGAAGACAGCAACAAAGGUGUAAUACAUGUGGUUGAUGUGAAAAUACACUCAUUACCAAGAAAAAGGGAGAUACAGAAUGCUUUAGAGAAGAAUGAAUAACUAGAUUGUCUGGCACGAAGAUAAAGUUCACCAAUGGGGAAUUUAAACUUACCAUUUUCAAAAUCUGUUACAUGUCCUCUUGCAGAACAAACCUGGCAAUAUUUUGUCAGGAAACAAACCAGAAAUAAUUAUGGGGCACUCCUGAGCACUUCCUCACUGAAAUAAUGCAUUAGGUGAUUAUUUCUAAGCAGGUAAAUUGACAGAGCCACCCAGAGCUCUAGAUAACAUCUCCUUUCACAUGCCUGGUUUUAUUAAGUGGGCCACCCAUCCUAGCUGAUAUUUUAUAAUACAUAUGCAAGACUCGAAAGAAGACUUAGCAGUGAAUCACUGAGUACUCCCCUUUAAUGAGUAGUUUCUGAGAGAUCAAUGAACAUUUUAGCCAGAAGCUUACUUGUGUCUAGUGCAGGAGCAAUAACUUUGCUCAAUUCUAUUAGUGCUGUCUGUACAGAAUGCCCUGCCCUAAAACUCAUCUGCCACUGGGAUACAAUCCAAUGUUUAUUUCCAUUAGUUAGGCCAUUGUUGGUAACAAUAAAAAUCAGGAGACAGUUGCAAACUAAUGAUUUAUGGGUAGAAUAAAACAUGGGAUGACCUUGGCUGCCUUCCAUCCACCAAGAAAAUGACUGGUAGUUAGAAAUAAAUUAAAAUUAUUAUGAGAGGAUAGCAUAUGUUAUUUCUCCGAUAGGUAAUUUUACCAGCUAAAUAGCCCUGUCAUUAAACUGGCAGCUGUUGUACAAAUUAUAUUCCAAGAUAAAAAAAAUACAGCUCCCAUACUUGUUGCAGUGUUACGAAUGCUGAAAACCCCAAUUCUACAGGAACUGACAGAAAAGGAGCUCUGGUGUGAUAAGGCUGAGCACAUACUCCUGGCUGUGUUCAGCUGAAUGACUCUUCUGAAAGCUAAGCAGAAAAGAUCAGCUAAGUAUAUCUACUAUCAGAAAUGGAAAUUCCUUUACAGGUGAUUCCAGAGAAAAAAAGCAAUCUUCCCUAACUGGAAUUUGUAGCUAAUGAAACUUCAGAACUUUGUUUUGCAAUUUAAAUUAUUCUGAUAAAACAAAACCAUCAGUAAUAUACUCUGCAUAUUCUUGACAGUGACUGCAAGUCUCAAGACAGUGAGACUUCUUUUACCUUUACCCAUUUUUAGGAAUCCCUUAUGUUCCAUUCCUGCUUAACAAUCUCUUUUUCUGGCCAACGGAGAAUAAAUAAAAAGCAAACUAUUCAAACAGUUGCAGUGGGGUACUACACAGAACAAAGUGGUGGUCUGUGCAAGCAUAAAUUAUAAAUAUAUUCUGUUUUUCAGAUGUACAGUUAGCCAAAAAGCAACAUGUGAAAAGAGUUUCCAUGUUUGCAAAAGUACAUCUCCAAUGUCAGUCAGGAAUGGAAAUGUACUUCAUAGCUGUAAUACCCCAUCACUGGUCAAAAAAACCCCACAACUGACAAAAGGAGGAGAAUUCAAAAAGAUGAAGGGAGGUUGUAUCUUUCCUGCUUUUAAUUUUUAAAACAGAAAUCCUGGUUUUGUCUGCCUAGCAUUAAGCACCAGCUUCAAAUCAGCAUGGAACUUCUCAGAGAACCAGACACUAAUUAUUUUUAUUUUAAAUCCCAAGCAAAACAGGCUAACUACUUUUCCCAAAUCCUCUAACAAAAUAAUUAAUACUUUGCUUGAAACUUUCAAGAUCAUUUCAUCUGCAGAAUAUGCCAGACCCUGAGAAUUCCAACCCCAACUGCCUGAGCAGCAGCAAAGCAGUAAGAAACCAAACACAGGAUCUCAGAAAAGGAAGCACUGGGAAACCUUUCCACCAAGAAUGUUCUCAGCCCAUCUCUAACUACUGAAUAAAUGCAAAUCACCAGUGAGGUCACAAAGGUGCAGCACAGGGUGCA